Molecule: long non-coding RNA, 565 nt
Organism: Gymnodraco acuticeps
Lineage: Eukaryota; Metazoa; Chordata; Actinopteri; Perciformes; Bathydraconidae
Exons: 3
Source: RefSeq, a predicted model, not a curated record
CUAAAAAUGACAUAUCUUUUUCACAACUAAUUUCCAAUGCAAUGUCCCUACCAUUGUAAACGACGAUGCAUACAGAAUCUUCAAGAACACAUAUUAUUUUAAAGAGGCGUGAAGAGCUAAUCAUUUGUACUUUAUUUAUAGAUGGCAGAAAUAGCCGGAUCGUCAUCCAGAGAGGAAAUGCUGAAGGAAAGUGGGCCUCCCGCCAUACUUGGACAAGGUCCCAAUGUGUGGAUAAUAGGGAGCAGCUACAUUAGACGUGGGGAAGAAAGAGCCAGACACACCAUGGGAAGCAACCUGGGUCUCAAUUGCCGUGUGUGGUGGUUUGGCAAGGGUGGUCUGAGCCUCACCAGCCUCACCCAGACGACGAGACGGCGUACAGAGAGGAGGUCGAAAACCUGACAUCUUGGUGCCAGGAUAACAACCUCCAUCUCAACGUCAGCAAAACCAAGGAGCUGAUUGUGGAUUGCAGGAAGCAGCAAAGAGAGGGACACGCCCCCCAUCGCCAUCAAUGGGACUACGGUAGAGAGAGUCAGCAGCUUCAGGUUCCUCAGUGUCCAUCACGGAC